AUAAACGCUGGCGGCGUGCGUUACGCAUGCAAGUCGCACGGUUCCCUUUUUUCGGAAAGGGGUAGUGGCGGACGGGUGAGUAACACGUACGUGACCUGCCCUGUGGGCGGGGGAUAACGGCGCGAAAGGGUCGCUAAUACCGCAUGAGCUCUCUUUCUUGCGAGAGGGAGAGGAAACCCGCGAAGGGGUCACGGGAGGGGCGUGCGGGGGAUUAGCUAGUUGGUGGGGUAACGGCCUACCAAGGCGACGAUCCCUAGCUGGCUGAGAGGACGGCCAGCCACACGGGGACUGAGACACCGGCCCCGACUCCUACGGGAGGCAGCAGCGAGGAAUCUUGC
This 338-nucleotide ribosomal RNA is filed under the name uncultured bacterium. RNAcentral describes it as "bacterial SSU rRNA". It matches the Rfam family "Bacterial small subunit ribosomal RNA", at positions 29 to 367 of the family's 1533-position model. The record is from RNAcentral.